UCAUGUUCUGAUCUUCAAAGCGAUUACAUGAAACAUAUUUUCCCAGUGAAAUCCCGUACUCUCAUGACUGAGAUGCAAAUCUGGCUUAACAUGCCAUUUUGUAAGAGACAUCAGGUGUUCUCCAGAACCGAGGGUAGGGUCCGCGUGGAGCAGCGCGUGGACAGCAGCAGCUUCGUGAUCGAGAGUGCUGAGAGGGCCGACGAGGGCCGCUACACCAUCAAGGUCACCAACCCCGCGGGCGAUGAUGUGGCCUCCAUCUUCCUGCGGGUCGUGGGAGCCGGCAAGAAGGCGGAAGUGGAGCAGAAGAAGAAGACGAUUUUCCGCAAGUUCACCUGCCGCAGCGUGGACCUGGACCAGCUGCUGGACAUGUCCUACGAGCAGCUGAUGCAGCAGCAGAGCGCACGGCGGCAGCUGAACCAAAGCCUGCGGCGGAAGUAGCACUCGCUGCUCAAGCUGCUGCACAAGGCCAAGACGGAGGCGACCCCCAUGGAAAAGCCCAAGGUAGGGAAGACGCACUUGUGCGACAUGAUCAUCCUGCCGGAGAUGGUGGGCAGCAUGGUGGGCAGCAUGGUGGGCGUGUACAACGGCAAGACCUUCAAUCAGGUGGAGAUCAAGCCGAAGAUGAUUGGCCACUACCUGGGUGAGUUCUUCAUUACCUACAAGCCUGUGAAGCACGGCCGGCCUGGCAUCGGUGCCACCUACUCCUCCCGCUUCAUCCCAUUCAAGUGGUCGCUGCCAAUAAAGGCACGCCUGUCCAAAAAAAAAAGGCAGGGUCCUACCUAUACCUUAAAGUUGUAA
RNA transcript from Carlito syrichta (Philippine tarsier), 798 nucleotides. It is a transcript of the gene named 40S ribosomal protein S15 pseudogene, with no coding region annotated. The record is from RefSeq and is a predicted model, not a curated record. NCBI's taxonomy places the organism in Eukaryota, Metazoa, Chordata, Mammalia, Primates, Tarsiidae. The transcript has 3 exons.